RNAcentral lists this transfer RNA (70 nucleotides) under Tachuris rubrigastra. Its description in RNAcentral is "tRNA-Lys". Lineage: Eukaryota; Metazoa; Chordata; Aves; Passeriformes; Tyrannidae. The record is from RNAcentral.
CAUUAAGAAGCUAUGAACCAGCACUAGCCUUUUAAGCUAGAGACAGAGGACCACUCACCCUCCUUAAUGA